GGAUGUGAGGAUGAUCUGGCUGGGGCAUCUGUCACCCCACUGAUUGCCAGGAUUGAUUGGGCUGACCUGGCCAGCUAGGCAGGUGUCCCUUCCUCCCUCACCCAUCCAUCUGGGUCCCUCUGGAAGCUGCAAGCUCAGUCAAAGAAGAUGGAGUUUCCCCAACAGAGACAGAUCCAUCUUCAGUCAAGGUUAUACGAGUAUCUGUGCUCCCCUGCUAGAACCUCCAAACAAUCUUUCAAGGAGGGUCUGAAGCAAAAGUUCCCUUGGGCAAAAGUCUAGACCUUCUUC
Unclassified non-coding RNA from Erinaceus europaeus (western European hedgehog), 288 nucleotides. Its record names the gene 7SK. It matches the Rfam family "7SK RNA". From Rfam's summary of the family: 7SK was discovered as an abundant small nuclear RNA in the mid-70s but a possible function has only recently been suggested. Two independent studies have found that 7SK RNA binds the CDK9/cyclin T complex (known as elongation factor P-TEFb). P-TEFb activates transcription by phosphorylating the C-terminal domain of RNA polymerase II. The record is from Ensembl. Lineage: Eukaryota; Metazoa; Chordata; Mammalia; Eulipotyphla; Erinaceidae.